Molecule: ribosomal RNA, 440 nt
Filed under: uncultured bacterium
Lineage: Bacteria
Description: partial 16S ribosomal RNA
Rfam family: Bacterial small subunit ribosomal RNA
Source: RNAcentral
CCUACGGGAGGCAGCAGUAGGGAAUUUUGCGCAAUGGGCGAAAGCCUGACGCAGCAACGCCGCGUGAUCGAGACGCCCUUCGGGAUGUAAAGAUCUGUCAGUGGGGACGAAACUUGACGGUUACCACAGAGGAAGCACCGGCUAACUCCGUGCCAGCAGCCGCGGUAAUACGGGGGGCGCAAGCGGUGUCCGGAAUCAUUGGGCGUAAAGAGUUCGUAGGGGGGACGUAAAGUCUGGUGUUAAAGGCAGUGGGUCAACUUCUGUACGGCACUGGAUACUUGCUAGCUAGAAUGCGGUAGAGGUAAAGGGAAUUCUUGGUGUAGCGGUGGAAUGCGUAGAUAUCAGGAGGAACAUCAGUGGCGUAAGCGGUUUACUGGGUCGUAAUUGACGCUGAGGAACGAAAGCCAGGGUAGCAAAUGGGAUUAGAUACCCGGGUAGUC